This is a long non-coding RNA of Quercus robur (English oak), 345 nucleotides long. RefSeq lists it as uncharacterized. The transcript is spliced from 3 exons. The record is from RefSeq and is a predicted model, not a curated record. NCBI's taxonomy places the organism in Eukaryota, Viridiplantae, Streptophyta, Magnoliopsida, Fagales, Fagaceae.
CGCCUGGGAACCGAAAGAUGGAUGAUUUUGUUGAUGAUAAUUCAAGAAUCUCAUUCGGCCAGUUGAUACUUAUAUUAGAUGAACUCCAUAAGAUCAAGUAAAGAAUACCUUAAGGGAAGAUUUCUCGAAGAGAACUCCAAUGAGAGUCUUCUUUCUGUAACAAAUCCUGCAUAUUGGUGUUAGGUCCUACUCUCAUCUUGUGUCCAAAUCUGUGUUUGAAGCUAUGACUUAUGAGCUUUUGGAAUGUUGGUAAUAAUGUUUUCAUUGCCAUAAAGCAAACAAGGUGUGGCCUUUAUGUGUUAUGUGGAAUAUCCUACAUUUGUAAUCAAAGAACAUGUUUUUUUU